UUCCGUGACAAACACUUUGAACGAUAACGCCUGUGAAAGACUGCCUUUUUAGUACCGUGAUUAAAGCUUUACUGCGGUAUCCAGUAUUUGCUGAGAAAAGAGUUUCCCAGGAGCGACUCAAGUUUGGCAGACAGCACCACAAUGAACACGAGGACCGUGCUUCUCUUUGCGCUUGUCCUCAGUAUGGCAUGCUCCAUGUCAGAGGCAGGCAACUACUGGCAGAUGAGGGGCCGUACAGGCAGGGCCAAUCUACGGACAAACUUCAGGAAACGCAUUUACCCCUUCAUUCCGAUCCGACCUGAGAUGCUGGAGCAAGUAAUAGAGGAUUGGGAUAACGGUGACGCAGAGUUUGACAACUAUUAAACUCUAUAUGAUUGAAUAAUCAUGGCAUCUUCAUAACUCACGAAAGACUCUUCGUUACGAAACUUCUCACCCAUUUCAACGAGAGGGCGGUAUACUCAAACGAUGAGGCCAAGAUCGACAGCGGUCAGCGGAGCGCUGCUAAUGUCGUGUUGCAACUUCAUCAGGGGGUGUUGGCUUAAAUCUGCCUCUGUUUGUUUCUCUGAUUGUUAGUGUUACGACAACGAAAAUAACCUAAACCUUAAUUUGUCAAAUUUCCAAAUUAAUUAAUUGUUGCUGGGGCUUCAGUCACAGGUGUCUUUUCUUCAAUAUUUUUUCUGUAUAAAAUCGAAAUAUAUAUUGUUUAUAAUUCACAAUUUCCCAUUAUUCAGAAUAUAAAGCAUUAACGUUUUUUUUGUAUAAAAAUCAUUAAAAAUAAAAUGCUACAUGAAAAUGUACCUUACAUUUCUUUUUAAUUGGGAAGUCUCUGUUUUCCAUUUAAUUUAACAUGGCAUACAGCAUAAUGUCUUACGAUAAUCACUCUUACUUUUUUGCAUGCAUUACACUUUGCAUAAUAAUAUACAGUAAAACGCCGCUAUAACGAACAUCGUGGGAUCCACAGAAAGUGUUCGUAAUAACGAACCGCCGGUACCCUCUUUUGACCAAUAGUGAAUUCACUGACAUGGCAUUUCUCACAUCCCGCGGCCGAACGAGGAGUUGUCACAAAACUUUAGCAACUGGUGGUGUUCCCUUUUAUUCCUUCGGGAAAUAAUAGCCAUCUAUCGCUCUUCAACAUUCAAACACGAAGUAACCAUAGGUGGUUUGAUGUUCGGGCAUUAAAAGUGGCCCAAACAGUGUGUAAUGCGCGGUACGUGUUGUACAUUAAAACCGGGAGCCAAGGAUGAUGUUCGGUAUAGCCGAAUGUUCGAUAUAGCGGUGUUCGGUAUAGCGGCGUUCCACUGUAUAGGUUUUCCCGUCCAAUUUUGCAACUUGUUAAUUCAAUCAGACAGAUUGCUCCUUACAUUUCAAGAGGUUUCAGAGAGUCAGAUUUACAAAUACGUUUUGGAUUCGCGGUAGAGCAUUCGAUUUCGUUUAUAGAUGUAUAUCCCGCGCUCCUCAAAAACAUUUUUAACUGCGGGUAUCAGCUCAACAACUCUUGAUGUCUCUCCGAGUUAGUUAGCAACAAACGUUGCCACUGUCUAUAGAUCCUAUACAUAUUUUGAACGAUUUCAACGAAACUUUGUCAACUAUAAAUAGCCAAGUCCCAACAUAUAACAUGACCAAACUGGGGUCAAAGGUCAUCAUGGGGUAACUGGGGUAAAAAAACCCUUUUUUUUAUAACU
This is a long non-coding RNA of Patiria miniata (bat star), 1682 nucleotides long. RefSeq lists it as uncharacterized. Lineage: Eukaryota; Metazoa; Echinodermata; Asteroidea; Valvatida; Asterinidae. The record is from RefSeq and is a predicted model, not a curated record. The transcript has 4 exons.